GACGAACGCUGGCGGCGUGCCUAAUACAUGCAAGUCGAGCGCAGGAAACUGACGGAACUCUUCGGAGGGAAGGCAGCGGAAUGAGCGGCGGACGGGUGAGUAACACGUAAGGAACCUGCCUCAAGGAUUGGGAUAACUCCGAGAAAUCGGAGCUAAUACCGGAAAGUUCAUCGGACCGCAUGGUCCGCUGAUGAAAGGCGCUCCGGCGUCACCUUGAGAUGGCCUUGCGGUGAAUUAGCUAGUUGGUGGGGUAACGGCCCACCAAGGCGACGAUGCAUGGGCGACCUGGGAGGGUGACAGGCCCAACGGGGACUGGGACACGGCCAAGACUCCUACGGGAGGCAGCAGUAGGGAGUCUUCCACAAUGGACGAAAGUCUGAUGGAGCAACGCCGCGUGAGUGAUGAAGGUUUUCGGAUCGUAAAACUCUGUUGUAAGGGAAGAACACGUACGAGAGGGAAUGCUCGUACCUUGACGGUACCUUACGAGAAAGCCACGGCUAACUACGUACCAGCCGCCGCAGUAA
This 524-nucleotide ribosomal RNA is filed under the name uncultured bacterium. RNAcentral describes it as "partial 16S ribosomal RNA". It matches the Rfam family "Bacterial small subunit ribosomal RNA", at positions 28 to 523 of the family's 1533-position model. The record is from RNAcentral.